Molecule: ribosomal RNA, 253 nt
Filed under: uncultured bacterium
Lineage: Bacteria
Description: partial 16S ribosomal RNA
Rfam family: Bacterial small subunit ribosomal RNA
Source: RNAcentral
UACGUAGGGGGCUAGCGUUGUCCGGAUUUAUUGGGCGUAAAGAGCGUGUAGGCGGCCAGGUAGGUCUGGUGUGAAAACUCGAGGCUUAACCUCGAGAUGUCAUCGGAAACCAUCUGGCUAGAGUCCGGAAGAGGAGAGUGGAAUUCCUGGUGUAGCGGUGAAAUGCGCAGAUAUCAGGAAGAACACCAAUGGCGAAAGCAGCUCUCUGGGACGGUACUGACGCUGAGACGCGAAAGCGUGGGGAGCAAAAGGG